GCGGGCUUUCCAUUCAACCCGUCUUGAAACACGGACCAAGGAGUCUAACAUGUGUGCAAGUCGAUGGGUCUGUAAACCUGCAAGGCAUAAGGACGCUGACGGACAAGAUCCCCUCUCCAUGGGGUGCAUUGUCGACCGACCUUGAGCUUGUGCAAAGGGUUCGAGUGCAAGCACCCCUGUUGGGACCUGAAAGAUCGUGAACUAUGCCUGAGCGGGGCGAAGCCAGAGGAAACUAUGGUGGAGGCUCGUAGCAUAUUGACGUGCAAAUCGUUCGUCUGACUUGGGUAUAGGGGCGAAAGACUAAUCGAACCAUCUAGUAGCUGGUUUCCUCCGAAGUUUCCCUCAGGAUAGUUGGAGCUCAUGUGCGAGUUUUAUUGGGUAAAGCAAAUGAUUAGAGGCAUCGGAGGCAUAAUGCCCUCGACUUAUUCUCAAACUUUAAAUAGGUAAGACGAUGCGGUUGCUCCAUUGAGUCGUGCCACAGAAUCAAGAGCUCCAAGUGGGCCAUUUUUGGUAAGCAAAACUGGCAAUGCGGGAUGAACCGAAAGUCAAGUUACGGUGCCAAACUGCAUGCUAACCCAAAUCCCAAAAAGGGUGUUGGUUGAUUAAGACAGCAGGACGGUAGUCAUGCAAGUCGAAAUCCGCUAAGGAGUGUAACAACUCGCCCGCCAAAUCAACUAGCCCUAAAAAUGGAUGGUGCUAAAGCACGCGACCUAUACUCGACCAUCGGAGCAAUUGCUAGGCUUCGAUGAGUAGGAGGAUGCGGGGGUCGUUGAGAAACCUUGGGCGUGAGCCUGGGUGGACCAGUCCCCGGUGCAGAUCUUGGUGGUAUUGGCAAAUAUUCAAAUGAGAACUUUGAAGACUGAAGUGGGGAAAGGUUCCAUGUGAACAGCGCUUGGACAUGGGUUAGUUGAUCCUAAGAGAUGUGGAAGCCCUGUAUCAAUGGUGCACUCUACACGAACAUCGAAAGGGAAUCGGGUUAAUAUUCAAAAAAUCGGGACAUGGCGGAAAACGGCAACGUUAGGAAAUCCAGAGACGUCGUCGGGGGCCUCGGGAAGAGUUAUCUUUUCUUUUUAACAGCUUGCCCACCCUGAAAUCGGCUAAACCGAAGAUAGGGUCCAGCAGUUGGAAGAGCAUCGCACGUCUUGUGGUGUCUGGUGCGCCCUCGACGGCCCUUGAAAAUCUGGAGGACCAAGUACCGUUCAUGCCCGAUCGUACUCAUAACCGCAUCAGGUCUCCAAGGUGAACAACCUCUGGUCAAUAGAACAAUGUAAGUAAGGAAAGUCAGCAAAAUGGAUCUGUAACUUCGGGAAAAGGAUUGGCUCUCAGCGUUGGGCCUAGGGUCUGCGUCCUCAACCUGUGGGUUAUCGACAGUCUGCCCGAGCUGUUAUCGUGGCGACGACAGGCAAUCCUGUGUCGAUUGGGCUACAGACGUAGAAUGUCCCCUCACGGGGGCUUUUCCCUAGGCGGCGAACAAUCGACUCAGAACUGGUACGGACAAGGGGAAUCCGACUGUUUAAUUAAAACAAAGCAUUGUGAUGGUCCCUGCAGAUGCUGACGCGAUGUGAUUUUUAAGUGCUCUGAAUGCCAAAGUGAAGAAAUUCAACCAAGCGCGAGUAAACAGCGAGAAUAACUAUGACUCUCUUAAGGUAGCCAAAUGCCUCGUCGUCUAAUUAGUGACGUGCAUGAAUGGAUUAAUGAGAUUCCCACUGUCCCUAUCUACUAUCUAGUGAAACCACAGCCAAGGGAAUGGGCUUGGCAGAAUCAACGGGGAAAGAAGACCCUGUUGAGCUUGACUCUAGUGUAACUUUGUGAAAUGACUUGAGAGGUGUAGAAUAAGUGGGAGCCAUUUUCGACGCAAGUGAAAUACCACUACUUUUAACGUUAUUUUACUUAUUCAAUGGGGCGAAGACGGGGCAUCGCCCCUGUUUUUGGCCUUAAGACACAUUUCGACGGGUCGAUCCGGGCGGAAGACAUUGUCAAGUGGGGAGUUUGGUUGGGGCGACACAUCUGUUAAAACAUAAUGCAAGUGUCCUAAGAUGAGCUCAACGAGAA
Non-coding RNA from Picea glauca (white spruce), 2052 nucleotides. NCBI's taxonomy places the organism in Eukaryota, Viridiplantae, Streptophyta, Pinopsida, Pinales, Pinaceae. The record is from Rfam.